GUGGGGAAUUUUGCGCAAUGGGCGAAAGCCUGACGCAGCAACGCCGCGUGAGUGAUGAAGGCCUUCGGGUUGUAAAGCUCUUUCGACUGGGAAGAAACACGCAGGUGCUAAUACCACCGGCGAUUGACGGUACCAGUAUAAGAAGCCACGGCUAACUCUGUGCCAGCAGCCGCGGUAAGACAGAGGUGGCAAGCGUUGUUCGGAAUUAUUGGGCGUAAAGGGCGUGUAGGCGGUUUUGUAAGUCGGGCGUGCAAUCCUAUGGCUUAACCAUAGAACUGCGUUCGAUACUGCAUAACUUGAGUGCAGGAGAGGAGAGUGGAAUUCCCAGUGUAGAGGUGAAAUUCGUAGAUAUUGGGAGGAACACCGGUGGCGAAGGCGGCUCUCUGGACUGUAACUGACGCUAAAGCGCGAAAGCGUGGGGAGCAAACAGGAUUAGAUACCCGUGUAGUCC
RNAcentral lists this ribosomal RNA (451 nucleotides) under uncultured bacterium. Its description in RNAcentral is "bacterial SSU rRNA". It matches the Rfam family "Bacterial small subunit ribosomal RNA", at positions 354 to 796 of the family's 1533-position model. The record is from RNAcentral.